Molecule: non-coding RNA, 3603 nt
Organism: Callorhinus ursinus (northern fur seal)
Lineage: Eukaryota; Metazoa; Chordata; Mammalia; Carnivora; Otariidae
Source: RefSeq, a predicted model, not a curated record
CAGUGGGCAAGGGGAACCUACGGCUAUUUAUAUGGAGGGCUGUCCUCCAGCCCUCCCCAGAUCUGGAAACAGGAUGCACAUGAACUAGAAGUACGAUGUGCAGGAUAACCGUAAUGAAAACCUGGCUCGACAGCAGCUCGUAUCAGCAGAGCCUAAUAGAACCAGCUGUGGAGCCUGGACAGGCCAACAGUGUGACACGGCGGCCCUUCUCCCACUGCGAAUGCCACCUUGAUGUUCAAAACAUUGCAGAGGAAUCCAUGAAAGUGGUUACCUGACUGGAACAGAGAAGAGCCUGUAAGGACAGAGCCUAGUUCAGAGAGCUGUCCGGUAAGGCCUGAGCUUCAGGGGGCUGCUUGGAGCAUGGUCCGGGCGUACCUCAACAAAAUACCUGGAAAAACCAGAAGCAACGGGCAUAAUUCUCAACCGACCAGAUUGAGAAGGAUUUGUCUGGGCUAGGAGCAGAAGGAAUGGUGGACCGAGGAAAUGAAGAAGGGCAGAGGAGCCCAGAAAAGCUGAUUGUCAUCUUAAUUUGUUUCAGUCAUGUUCGAACUCUGAUCAGCGUGUGCCCUAGCUGGCUGACUGCCCUGUGUUGUGCUGAGGACCCGGAGCACACAUGAAUGCCUGGACUGCAGUGACCAGGAAAACUCCAAGGAGAAUCUCUGGGAGAGAAGCCCCCAUGCCCUCUGACGGGAACUCCAGCUAAGCGAAAGCGGGAUGUGAAGGUGCUCUGUAGACUGUAGAAUGUAAGAGAGUCCCCUCCUUCCUCCUUUUCCUCCCUCUUUCCUCCUUCUCCGCCCCACGCCUCCAUCUGUUGAGCAGCGGCUGCUGAGCAGGCACUCGGCAUAGGGAGAGACACACGAAGAUGGUCAGAACACAGGUCCUGCUCCCACAAUUCAUGGUGGAGAGGGGAGAUCAGACACACGAAUAAGUGACAUUUCUUUGAUUUUAAGAUGCACUCCCAAUAUAAUAAGAGUUUUGGAGAGGGAAAAAAAAAAUCAGAAACAGUACCACACUAAAUGUACACGUUUGCAAAACAUCCUCAUCUUAGAAACAUACAGAUGUGGAAAAAGGGCAUGUUUGAAAAUGAGCCUGUGGGCAGAGUAGUCACAAUAGAAGUAGGUACAGUGACCUAUCAGAACAUAAAAAUGUCGGGGGGGAAAUCUCUGUCUUAGGAGUAGUAGUUGCAGUGGUGUGAUCAUUGUCAUAAGAGCGGGGGCACAGGGUGCCCCUGGAACCCCCUGCAGGGAGCUCUGAGUGGUGCCUGGGGACACCACGUAAGGCUUCAGUGGGAGGUGGUGUUCCGGGGCCACCUUCCAGGUGACUAAUGGUGGACAGGCAUGGAUGGGUAAAGAGGCCCGAGGAGGGGGUCCCAGGCAGGGGAGCAGGUCUGGCAGAGGCAGGAGACAAAAGAGAGUGCGGUGCAUUCCGGGAGCAGCUGCUUGUCAUCCUGUAGGUGGUUACUAAUAGUGGAGGAACAGAGGGGGCCCUCCGUCUGGACGCGCCUCAUCACAAAGACAACAGGGAGGGAGAGGUAGGCUUCAUAGCGUAACAGAGUGAGGCGUCUCUGCUAAACUUGCCCAUCUCUUGGAAAGUUCCUCUGUUUUCUAUUUACAUAAGUCAUAAAUUGAUUGCCUAAUGCAAAAAUGAUGUGUUCUCCAAUAGUUAGGAAAUACAACAGAUUUCAAUCAAUAGAUUCAAAAUUCUUCAUUACAUCUGCUUGCUUAUUCCCUUAAACCUUUUCUCCAGAGGAAGUAUGCCCUUUAGAAGUGAUUGAUGGUGUUGCUCCUGUGGGCACAUGCACUUCUUACAGGUUCUUCUCUCUCUCUGUCUCCCUCUCGCUCUUUCUCUCUUUUCCCCUUCCCCCUGGUUGUCAAGCAGCUGCUCGGCUGCAACACUAGGCAGGCACCAAGGAAUGUAUUUUUUUGCUCAGAUGUGUGUGUGCGCGCGAGGCUCUCUGAAUUGCAUCCUCACAGAAUAACAUUUGGGUGUGGGCAUGAUGAGGAUGCUAUUAGCAGGAAAUUCAUUUAUGUUGGUCCCAGGACAGUGAGAAAGCUACCAACAGUGUUGAAAGAAAGCCAAGUAAACAGUCUGGAAAGUCCUUCCUAGGGCGGCCUGGUAAAAGAGAUGGACAGUACUGGAUUAAUUAGGACAUUCUUCUAGACUAUGCCUCUUUAUGCUCCUGGGGGGAUGGAUAUUUUCUGGGGGCAGAGAAGCACCCCUCUGGUCCUUCUGUGUUCACUUCUUAGUUUAACCCAUCCUGGGCCAGGAGGAAAGAAUCCCCUGGCUUCUCCCUCUCUCUCGGGGCUCUUUCUCAGCCCUGGGAGGGCCAUGAGCUGUCAGAGCACCCACUAGGAUGGAAAACAACCCACCACCCUGGCUCCUCCUCCUGGUUCUGCCACUGGAGCCUCUUUGGAUCAUGUUUCCUCAUCUGUGAAAUCAGCCUGUUUACUAGUUAAUCUCUAAGAUUGUGCCUCAGCUCUAUGACAGUAACUCAGACAAGCAUAGAGUGGCUGAAUGUUUAUACUGUGUGCCAGGCAUUCUGCUGAGAGCCUUCCUCAUUCAAUCCCCACGGCAACUCUGUGUGGUUCAUACUCUUAUUGUCCCAUUUUACAAAUGACGCACUGAGGCUCUGGCAUAAUAGCUACCUCAUCCUGGGGAAUGUAAGUGUCAGAACCGGAAUGAGGGUAUGUCUCUGGUUCUGUAGCCCACAUGUUUGAUAUGUUUUCUUAGUCAGGCUGCUGUAACGAUACCCAUUGACUUGAUGGUUUAAACAACAAACAUUUAUUUCUCACAGUUUGGUGGCUGGGAAGUCCAAGAUCAAGAUGCCCACAGAUUCUGUGUCUGAUGAAAUCUCUCUUCCCAGUUUACAGAUGGCCACCUUCUUGCUAAGUCCAGAGAGAGAGAGACAGAAUUCUAGCCUCUUCCUCUUCUUAUAAGGACAUUAAUUCCAUCAUGAGGAUCCUACCCUUAUGAACUCAUUAAAUCUAGGCCUGUCCCAAAGGCCCUACCUCCUAGUAUCACCACAUUGUGAUGUUAGGGCUUUGACAUAUGAAACAUUCAGCCCAUAGCAGACAUUAUGCAGUUUUGCCUCCUUCCAUGAUUUGGAGGGAGUGUGGGUGAGAUUUGAGUCACCCUUAGAAGCAGUAGGAGGGCACGCUUCUCUCCACCUCCAGCACAGUGCUGGAGAGGGAGUAAUCAGGGGCAAAGAUGCUGUGCCCACGAGCAGGACUCUGGGAGCUGGUGAACAGGGAUCCUGUGUAAGGUUUUUGAAGCCAGAUACUUGUUGGAGACAAGCUACUGCCUGGGACUAUCUGUGAUGAUUUGUGAACAUCCAGCCAUUAGUUCCACAAAUAUCUUUUGAACGACCUACACUCUUCUAGGGGCUGGGAAUGCAGUGGUGAACAAGACAGGGAACUUACAUUUUAGGAGGGAAAAAAGACAUCAACUAAUCCCACAAAUAAAUGGGUGAUUGAAAAUUGUGUUAAAUAUGAGGAAAGACUAUACAGAGUGCUGUGGAGUGUACAUAUUGGGGGCCAGAUCUGGUCCUGGUGGAAGAUGUGGUCAUCAAAGAUCUCCCUGAGGAAGUGGUUGCUGAGCAGAGAU